RNAcentral lists this ribosomal RNA (521 nucleotides) under Enterococcus faecalis. Its description in RNAcentral is "bacterial SSU rRNA". It matches the Rfam family "Bacterial small subunit ribosomal RNA", at positions 1020 to 1533 of the family's 1533-position model. The record is from RNAcentral. Lineage: Bacteria; Bacillati; Bacillota; Bacilli; Lactobacillales; Enterococcaceae.
UCGGGGACAAAGUGACAGGUGGUGCAUGGUUGUCGUCAGCUCGUGUCGUGAGAUGUUGGGUUAAGUCCCGCAACGAGCGCAACCCUUAUUGUUAGUUGCCAUCAUUUAGUUGGGCACUCUAGCGAGACUGCCGGUGACAAACCGGAGGAAGGUGGGGAUGACGUCAAAUCAUCAUGCCCCUUAUGACCUGGGCUACACACGUGCUACAAUGGGAAGUACAACGAGUCGCUAGACCGCGAGGUCAUGCAAAUCUCUUAAAGCUUCUCUCAGUUCGGAUUGCAGGCUGCAACUCGCCUGCAUGAAGCCGGAAUCGCUAGUAAUCGCGGAUCAGCACGCCGCGGUGAAUACGUUCCCGGGCCUUGUACACACCGCCCGUCACACCACGAGAGUUUGUAACACCCGAAGUCGGUGAGGUAACCUUUUUGGAGCCAGCCGCCUAAGGUGGGAUAGAUGAUUGGGGUGAAGUCGUAACAAGGUAGCCGUAUCGGAAGGUGCGGCUGGAUCACCUCCUUUCUAAGGAA